AUUCAGCUGACGAGUUUCAAAUGGGACGAAAUUCGCGUCCUGGAU
This is a non-coding RNA of Schistosoma mattheei, 45 nucleotides long. NCBI's taxonomy places the organism in Eukaryota, Metazoa, Platyhelminthes, Trematoda, Strigeidida, Schistosomatidae. The record is from Rfam.